GGGGUUGUGGCUCAGUGGUAGAGUGCUUGCCUAGCACGUGUGAAGCACUGGGUUCGAUCCUCAGCACCUCA
Molecule: transfer RNA, 71 nt
Filed under: Marmota marmota marmota (Alpine marmot)
Lineage: Eukaryota; Metazoa; Chordata; Mammalia; Rodentia; Sciuridae
Also listed under: 1 other name
Rfam family: tRNA
About the family: Transfer RNA (tRNA) molecules are approximately 80 nucleotides in length. Their secondary structure includes four short double-helical elements and three loops (D, anti-codon, and T loops). Further hydrogen bonds mediate the characteristic L-shaped molecular structure. tRNAs have two regions of fundamental functional importance: the anti-codon, which is responsible for specific mRNA codon recognition, and the 3' end, to which the tRNAs corresponding amino acid is attached (by aminoacyl-tRNA synthetases). tRNAs cope with the degeneracy of the genetic code in two manners: having more than one tRNA (with a specific anti-codon) for a particular amino acid; and 'wobble' base-pairing, i.e. permitting non-standard base-pairing at the 3rd anti-codon position.
Source: Rfam by way of RNAcentral